AAGGCUUUACUAAACCGUACUGAAAACCGACACAGGUGGUCAGGUAGAGAAUACUCAGGCGCUUGAGAGAACUCGGGUGAAGGAACUAGGCAAAAUAGCACCGUAACUUCGGGAGAAGGUGCGCCGGCGUAGAUUGUAAGGGCUAGCCCCUGAAGGUUGAACCGGUCGAAGAUACCAGCUGGCUGCAACUGUUUAUUAAAAACACAGCACUCUGCAAACACGAAAGUGGACGUAUAGGGUGUGAUGCCUGCCCGGUGCUGGAAGGUUAAUUGAUGGUGUAAUCGAAAGAGAAGCACCUGAUCGAAGCCCCAGUAAACGGCGGCCGUAACUAUAACGGUCCUAAGGUAGCGAAAUUCCUUGUCGGGUAAGUUCCGACCUGCACGAAUGGCAUAAUGAUGGCCAGGCUGUCUCCACCCGAGACUCAGUGAAAUUGAAAUCGCCGUGAAGAUGCGGUGUACCCGCGGCUAGACGGAAAGACCCCGUGAACCUUUACUAUAGCUUGACACUGAACAUUGAAUUUUGAUGUGUAGGAUAGGUGGGAGCCUUUGAAGCAGUGACGCCAGUCAUUGUGGAGGCGACCUUGAAAUACCACCCUUUAACGUUUGAUGUUCUAACGAAGAUGACGAAACGUGGUCUCGGACAGUGUCUGGUGGGUAGUUUGACUGGGGCGGUCUCCUCCCAAAGCGUAACGGAGGAGCACGAAGGUUUGCUAAUCACGGUCGGACAUCGUGAGGUUAGUGCAAUGGUAUAAGCAAGCUUAACUGCGAGACAGACAAGUCGAGCAGGUACGAAAGUAGGUCAUAGUGAUCCGGUGGUUCUGAAUGGAAGGGCCAUCGCUCAACGGAUAAAAGGUACUCCGGGGAUAACAGGCUGAUACCGCCCAAGAGUUCAUAUCGACGGCGGUGUUUGGCACCUCGAUGUCGGCUCAUCACAUCCUGGGGCUGAAGUAGGUCCCAAGGGUAUGGCUGUUCGCCAUUUAAAGUGGUACGCGAGCUGGGUUUAGAACGUCGUGAGACAGUUCGGUCCCUAUCUGCCGUGGGCGUAGGAGAAUUG
RNAcentral lists this ribosomal RNA (1053 nucleotides) under Haemophilus influenzae. RNAcentral's name for it is "bacterial LSU rRNA". It matches the Rfam family "Bacterial large subunit ribosomal RNA", at positions 1628 to 2664 of the family's 2925-position model. Lineage: Bacteria; Pseudomonadati; Pseudomonadota; Gammaproteobacteria; Pasteurellales; Pasteurellaceae. The record is from RNAcentral.